Non-coding RNA from Microcebus murinus (gray mouse lemur), 405 nucleotides. NCBI's taxonomy places the organism in Eukaryota, Metazoa, Chordata, Mammalia, Primates, Cheirogaleidae. The record is from RefSeq and is a predicted model, not a curated record.
GAGUUUGAGGUUGCCGUGAGCUAGGCUGACAUCACGGAACCCUAGCCUGGGCAACACAGGAAAAACAAAGCCCGCGCUCCAAACCUCGCGCAGGCGCUCUGGAACCCAUCGCGCGCCUCGUGACCCAGAAUUCCCCGGGCCGUGGGCGAGACCACAGGCUCAGGAGGAGGGGGGAGUCCUGGGUUAAUGCUGAGGUUUUACGGUAUCUCCCUCCCUCCUGUGAGGAAUGAGAUGUUCCGACUCCUUAAGGGGCUGGGGCCCCACGGACGCGGCCUUUCCGCUGGAGUUGUGCGAUGGAGGGUCACCGCAGUAGCCUGAGAUCCGCGAAGGCCGGGACCCGGUUACCCGGCCCGCCGUGGGAAGUGGGCAGACGUGAGAGCACUGGAUGGUGUGCGCAACUGCAGA